This 76-nucleotide transfer RNA is filed under the name Caenorhabditis briggsae. It matches the Rfam family "tRNA". From Rfam's summary of the family: Transfer RNA (tRNA) molecules are approximately 80 nucleotides in length. The record is from Rfam by way of RNAcentral. Lineage: Eukaryota; Metazoa; Nematoda; Chromadorea; Rhabditida; Rhabditidae.
GGCCGCGUGGCCUAAUGGAUAAGGCACCAGACUUCGGAUUAAAAGGGAAUUGUAGGUUCGAGUCCUGCCGUGGUCG